Molecule: ribosomal RNA, 496 nt
Filed under: uncultured bacterium
Lineage: Bacteria
Description: partial 16S ribosomal RNA
Rfam family: Bacterial small subunit ribosomal RNA
Source: RNAcentral
ACUCAAAGGAAUUGACGGGGGCCCGCACAAGCGGUGGAGUAUGUGGCUUAAUUCGAUGCAACGCGAAGAACCUUACCUGGCCUUGACAUGCACUAGACCGACGCUGAAAGGCGUCUUUCCUUCGGGACUGGUGCACAGGUGCUGCAUGGCUGUCGUCAGCUCGUGUCGUGAGAUGUUGCGUUAAGUCGCGCAACGAGCGCAACCCCUGUCCUUAGUUGCCAUCAUUAAGUUGGGCACUCUAAGGAGACAAACCCUCUCUGAGGGUGGGAAGGUGGGGAUGACGUCAAGUCAGGAUGGCCCUUACGGCCAGGGCUGCACACGUACUACAAUGCUCGGUACAGAGGGAAGCAACACCGCGAGGUGAAGCGAAUCUCAAAAACCGAGCCCAGUUCAGAUUGUAGUCUGCAACUCGACUACAUGAAGUUGGAAUCGCUAGUAAUGGCGCAUCAGCUACGGCGCCGUGAAUACGUUCCCGGGCCUUGUACACACCGCCCGU